UACGUAGGGGGGCAAGCGUUGUCCGGAAUCAUUGGGCGUAAAGCGCGUGUAGGCGGUUCGGUAAGUCGGCUGUGAAAGUCCAGGGCUCAACCCUGGGAUGCCGGUCGAUACUGCCGGACUAGAGUUCGGAAGAGGCGAGUGGAAUUCCCGGUGUAGCGGUGAAUGCGCAGAUAUCGGGAGGAACACCAAUGGCGAAGGCAGCUCGCUGGGACGUUACUGACGCUGAGACGCGAAAGCGUGGGGAGCAAACAGG
RNAcentral lists this ribosomal RNA (253 nucleotides) under uncultured bacterium. RNAcentral describes it as "partial 16S ribosomal RNA". It matches the Rfam family "Bacterial small subunit ribosomal RNA", at positions 524 to 776 of the family's 1533-position model. The record is from RNAcentral.